UGGAUAACCUCGGGAAACUGAGAUUAAACCGCGAUAGGUCAAGAUUUCUGGAAUGGAUCCUGGCUUAAAUCUACAUGGCCCCUGGAUUGGACUGCGGUCGAUCAUGCUGUUGGUGAGGUAAUGGCCCACCAAACCUAUAACCGGUACGGGCUCUGAGAGGAGAAGCCCGGAGAUGGGGACUGAGACAAGGGCCCAGGCCCUAUGGGGCGCAGCAGGCGCGAAAACUCUGCAAUGGGCGAAAGCCUGACAGGGUGGACUCUGAGUGAUUUCCGCUAAGGAGAUCUUUUGGCAGCUCUAAAAAUGGUGCAGAAUAACGGGUGGGCAAGUCUGGUGUCAGCCGCCGUGGUAAUACCACCACCCCGAGUGGUCGGCACGAUUAUUGGGCCUAAAGCAUCCGUAGCCGGUUGUGCAACUCCUCCGUUAAAUCCAGCCGCUCAACGGAUGGGCUGCGGAGGAUACUACAGAACUAGGAGGCGGGAGAGGCAAGCGGCACUUAGUGGGUAGGGGAAAAAUCCUUUGAUCCACUGAAGA
Molecule: ribosomal RNA, 531 nt
Filed under: uncultured archaeon
Lineage: Archaea
Description: bacterial SSU rRNA
Rfam family: Archaeal small subunit ribosomal RNA
Source: RNAcentral